This 236-nucleotide long non-coding RNA is filed under the name Elaeis guineensis (African oil palm). RNAcentral describes it as "long non-coding RNA (EGUI_LNC019180)". Lineage: Eukaryota; Viridiplantae; Streptophyta; Magnoliopsida; Arecales; Arecaceae. The record is from RNAcentral.
AGAAAAAUUAGUGGGGUAUAAAAUAAUUUUAAUGGGCUGAACCCGGCCCGUCCAUUAAGGCGGUCACCAGAAGAGGAUCGGAAUAGGGGAAAGUAAAUCCCCUGUUCCGUGCGAUAGAAGCCUCACCGCUUCUUUCUCCCGAUGCUCCCUCCCUCCCUCCAUCUCGCUCUCUUCCCUCCCUCUCACGGUCUCUCUCUCUCUCGCGCACGCUCUCCCCCUCUGCUAUCUCUCUCCCG